RNAcentral lists this signal recognition particle RNA (97 nucleotides) under Exilibacterium tricleocarpae. RNAcentral describes it as "Bacterial small signal recognition particle RNA". It matches the Rfam family "Bacterial small signal recognition particle RNA". Rfam says of the family: The signal recognition particle (SRP) is a universally conserved ribonucleoprotein involved in the co-translational targeting of proteins to membranes. Archaeal SRP consists of a 7S RNA and homologues of the eukaryotic SRP19 and SRP54 proteins. In most bacteria, the SRP consists of a 4.5S RNA and the Ffh protein (a homologue of the eukaryotic SRP54 protein). Lineage: Bacteria; Pseudomonadati; Pseudomonadota; Gammaproteobacteria; Cellvibrionales; Cellvibrionaceae. The record is from Rfam by way of RNAcentral.
UUCCGGUCCCCCCGCAAUGAUCAACUGCGAACCCCGCCAGGCCCGGAAGGGAGCAACGGUAGUGGUGACAUCAUGUGCCGGGGUGCGGCUGGCUUGG